RNAcentral lists this ribosomal RNA (483 nucleotides) under uncultured bacterium. RNAcentral's name for it is "bacterial SSU rRNA". It matches the Rfam family "Bacterial small subunit ribosomal RNA", at positions 28 to 526 of the family's 1533-position model. The record is from RNAcentral.
GACGAACGCUGGCGGCGUGCUUAACACAUGCAAGUCGAACGGUAAGGCCCCUUCGGGGGUACACGAGUGGCGAACGGGUGAGUAACACGUGGGUGACCUGCCCUGCACUCUGGGAUAAGCCUGGGAAACUGGGUCUAAUACCGGAUAUGAGCUCCUGUCGCAUGGCGGGGGUUGGAAAGGUUUACUGGUGCAGGAUGGGCCCGCGGCCUAUCAGCUUGUUGGUGGGGUAAUGGCCUACCAAGGCGACGACGGGUAGCCGGCCUGAGAGGGCGACCGGCCACACUGGGACUGAGACACGGCCCAGACUCCUACGGGAGGCAGCAGUGGGGAAUAUUGCACAAUGGGCGAAAGCCUGAUGCAGCGACGCCGCGUGAGGGAUGACGGCCUUCGGGUUGUAAACCUCUUUCAGCAGGGACGAAGCGAGAGUGACGGUACCUGCAGAAGAAGCACCGGCCAACUACGUGCCAGCAGCCGCCGUAAAAC